Molecule: ribosomal RNA, 453 nt
Filed under: uncultured bacterium
Lineage: Bacteria
Description: bacterial SSU rRNA
Rfam family: Bacterial small subunit ribosomal RNA
Source: RNAcentral
CCUAACACAUGCAAGUCGAACGGUAACAGGAAGAAGCUUGCUUCUUUGCUGACGAGUGGCGGACGGGUGAGUAAUGUCUGGGAAGCUGCCUGAUGGAGGGGGAUAACUACUGGAAACGGUAGCUAAUACCGCAUAAUGUCGCAAGACCAAAGAGGGGGACCUUCGGGCCUCUUGCCAUCGGAUGUGCCCAGAUGGGAUUAGCUUGUUGGUGGGGUAACGGCUCACCAAGGCGACGAUCCCUAGCUGGUCUGAGAGGAUGACCAGCCACACUGGAACUGAGACACGGUCCAGACUCCUACGGGAGGCAGUAGUGGGGAAUAUUGCACAAUGGGCGCAAGCCUGAUGCAGCCAUGCCGCGUGUAUGAAGAAGGCCUUCGGGUUGUAAAGUACUUUCAGCGGGGAGGAAGGGAGUAAAGUUAAUACCUUUGCUCAUUGACGUUACCCGCAGAAGAA